This 1010-nucleotide long non-coding RNA is filed under the name Mus musculus (house mouse). RNAcentral describes it as "long non-coding RNA chr15:6796398-6797408". The record is from RNAcentral. Lineage: Eukaryota; Metazoa; Chordata; Mammalia; Rodentia; Muridae.
UAGCCAAGCCAACUUCUCUCCCGCGUUGGGCCCUUCUCGGGGUUCGUGGUUCAUUACCAUGGUUUUAAUUCAGUUACCAUCAUAUGCAAGAGCCAAGCACUGAAUAUCUACAUAGGUUUUCUAUUUUUUUAUUUUCAAAGCGCAAUGGCAGUGGAACAAAACAGGACAUGAAGACGCAUCCUUCACACCGUUGUUUUCUGAAUGCUUUUUAAUCAAGGGUAAAUACAAAAGAUGCCUUGUUUGUUAACUAAUUUGUGGAAAGCAGGAGUCACUGACUCCGAGACUGCAUCCUGUUACCCCGUGGGCUGUAACUGCUGGUAUCAGAGGAACACACUCGCCUUUCCACACUUCUUAAUGUCUGUAACACUACUUCAGAGGUUUAUAACUUCACAGCAGAAGGAACACCUCAGCACUCGGAACUUGGAAGUUAGUUUACGAUGCUAGAUGCAUAAGGAUGCUUACUUGUCCUCUGUCGCUUCAGGUUGUUGCAAUACGUUGUUAAAGGCUAUUUCUACUAAUUAAGGUUUUUCACUAUGGUUGUGAUGUAGUAAGGAGUAAAUACUUCUCGUGUUCAGAGCACAUUGUACCCAACCUCCUCCACUCCUCUCACCACUUACAAGGGACUGAGCCAGAUGAGCAGUCUGGACAAAGCAAAGGAAGCAUGAAGUGAGGCUGCAGUCUCUCAAGGAAAAGACAGCUUUGCCUGCAGUUUACACAUUCCAUGGGAAAAAGGAAGAGCCAUAUGUCCUAUUAAAACGUCAUUGAGACUCGUUAUUAAGAUUCAGAAUUGUGGUGAAAAGCCUUAAUUACUAAAUUUUAAAGCAGCGAUAAUUUAAUUUUUGUUAGUGUUCCUGUUUUGCAUAAAUUGCAGUUAUAGGUGAGUUAAAAGUAUAGUCAUUGCCUUUAUCACAUUUGUGAAGUUGAUGAAGGCGAGACUUUGUCUGUCUAAUUUGUUUAUGUAUAAAGAGACUUGGAAAUCUUCACAGGAAUUAAACAUAUAUGCAAAUUUG